UCCAGCAAGGCAUCUUCUCUCCGGGGGACUGGGAAACAGGGUGUUUGUCCUCACCUAGAAAACGGCCUCUACGCACACAUCUGCUGGAGAGAAUAAAGCUGCCGCGUGGCCCUGGGCUUGCUGGCAGGCAGGGGUGGCUGGUGGGCAAGGCUUGGGCCAGCCAGAAUGCUCUGCUCCCAGGCAGCCUGGAACUCUCCCUGGAACAGGGCGAAAGCCCCCUAGUAGCCAAAAAAGGAAGAUUCUCCCUGGAAACCUGGGCCUGUUCCCCAGCAGCUGGUGGUACACUUGAACACUGUGUGAAGACACUUCCUUCAUCAUUUCUUGGGAAGUCCUGAAUUACCCCGAGGUCAACAUUUCCACUUUACCCUACUCACAACCACAGCUAGAGCAAGGAGGAACUGUAUGAGAAAUACCGCAUGACAAUGAUUUCGUAGGGAGAGGCAACUGGCUCACACUCACCAUUAUAUUAGUAGAGCCAGACUAGAAUCAAGCUCUCAACUGUCCUUCUGGAAAAAUAAAGUUCUAGAAAAAUAGGUCACUUUUCUGAGGACCUGCAAGCAAGAUGAUCACUAAAGCUUGUCCUGGAAGACUGUGACAUCAGGAGCAUCAUGAAGUCUACAUUUGUUCAUUCUUCCCCAUUCCUCCUCC
RNAcentral lists this long non-coding RNA (648 nucleotides) under Pan paniscus (pygmy chimpanzee). RNAcentral's name for it is "lncRNA (ENSPPAG00000044276.1)". Lineage: Eukaryota; Metazoa; Chordata; Mammalia; Primates; Hominidae. The record is from RNAcentral.